GCAGGGCAUGGUGACACAUGCCUGUAAUCCCAGCACUUUGGAGGCUGAGACAGGAGGAUUGCGAGUUCAAAGCCAGCCUCAGCAAAAGUGAGGCACUAAGCAACUCAGUGAAACCCUGUCUUAA
This 124-nucleotide small RNA is filed under the name Marmota monax (woodchuck). The record is from RNAcentral. Lineage: Eukaryota; Metazoa; Chordata; Mammalia; Rodentia; Sciuridae.